CCCUUACGCUCUUCGUCUCCCUUUCCUUUCGUUCAAAGCCGUUGACCCUUGCUUUCCUCAAACCAUUACGAUAAACCUCACGCACACCUCUCAAUUUCCUUCAAACGCUGUCGGCCAUCAAACACACGAACUCCACCCUCUGUAAAUGUCGCUGACCAUCUCCGUUUGAUAUAAGAGGACCGAACUCCACUCUCAAGUAAUCCAAAUGCCGGCCAUCAGAGGAGUUUCAUGUUCCACCGCCCAUUCAAGGAUCCAAUCAGCUAUCCGUCCCUCGUGUUCCUCGCUCACCGUCGGCAGCGUUUCAUCAGGGUGAAUUGGGGAGUUGGAGUUUCAAGAGCAAAACCUAUGACACUUUCUAUGAAGGAUACAUGUUUCCUCUACUUGUCAAGGAGCAGCUGGAGUUUCGGCCCGAAAAGAAUUUUUGACGAGUUUGGAUGAGUGCCCCACAAAAAGAAAUCAAAUCCCUCAAAUUUCAAUGCCAUGAAGGCAAUCUCAGAAACUCAAAGGUCUUCAGUGAAUCAAGAAUUGUGGAAUACGAUUUCAAAGAAAGACUUAUUUCCCCUAAAAAACACGAGUUGAUGAGAGUUUCAAUUUUGAACACAAAUUAUUGUCAAUAAGAAGCAACACUAAAGUUUUUGGGAAGAAACAUAGAUUUGGAAUCCAUGAUCGUCAAGUUGUAUGUUGUUGAAGGAAAAAUAGUUCAUCAUGAGGACUGAUUGUGAAGAAGCACGCUCACCAUUUGUGUAGAAGUACAAGACUGUCAUACACCCUGGUGAGGACAAAAAACUUGAAACGGAAGACCCUGAGAAGAAGAAGAAUGAAGAAAAGCUUAAUUGGACUGGCUCGGGGCCUGGUUCGGCCUCGGAUGAUUCGGUUGAGUUGGCUGAUAUGGAUUCUUCUGUGUUGGAUGAGCUUUUGGUGAUGCUGAAGAAAUGUAGAGCAGAAAGUAUUGGCUGGAUCGGAAGUGAUCAAUAAGGAGUGGUGUUAUUCUUGCAAUAAGUGAUCAAUUAGAUAUAGUGUUAACUUUUUAACUUUAAGAUGGUCAUAAUAAUUCUUGCAAUAAUGAGUGAUGUUAAAUAAAAUAUGAGUUGCUAUAUUUCAACACCUAUUACAUUAGUUCUUAAUAUGGAUAAGACCUUAUUUUCUUAUGGGGUGGAUUGUUGAGAUUUAUAUAUAUGUUUAUGUAUUUUAGGUCAGGCUCGGUUCGUUAGGAUACUAUGAACUAAACAUGGAGUCCUAUCUUUGAAACCUUGUAAAUGUUUUUGGAGAGUUUCUUCCAAAAGUUAGUGCUUGUAAAUUAUAGCGAGUAAUUCUUCCUCAUACUUUAUUAUAUGUAUCAAGGUGUGUUGGGCAUAAAACUUUUUAGUGCACAUCAAUGAGCUUUUAAAUCCUUUGCAAAUGUUUUGCUAGAAUCCAUUGGAGCAGCGAAGCCAUAUUUGUAGCAAUUCAUUGAUGUAUAGGCAUUUUUGUAGGUUUGGUAGGAAAAUUUCUAACUUAAAUAUAGUUAUUUAAAUAGCUUGUUUGUAACAAACAAUAUAUGUACCAACACUUACAGCGAUAUUAUAAAGUGUAUGUUUCUUUAUACUAAAGCGUUCA
Long non-coding RNA from Cucumis melo (muskmelon), 1596 nucleotides. RefSeq lists it as uncharacterized. The record is from RefSeq and is a predicted model, not a curated record. The transcript is spliced from 11 exons. Lineage: Eukaryota; Viridiplantae; Streptophyta; Magnoliopsida; Cucurbitales; Cucurbitaceae.